Molecule: ribosomal RNA, 450 nt
Filed under: uncultured bacterium
Lineage: Bacteria
Description: bacterial SSU rRNA
Rfam family: Bacterial small subunit ribosomal RNA
Source: RNAcentral
CGGCGUGCCUAACACAUGCAAGUCGAGGGUUUUUAGUAGUAAUACGAAGAACACUUGGCGCACGGGUGAGUAACGCGUAGAUCAUCUGCCCCUAANACUGACAUAACAGUUCUAACGGACUGCUAAUAUCAGAUGUGAUAAGCAAUUAUUAAAGGGUACCGGUUAGGGAUGAGUCUGCGUCUGAUUAGGUAGUUGGUGAGGUAACGGCUCACCAAGCCUACGAUCAGUAACUGGUCUGAGAGGACGAACAGUCACACCGGAACUGAGACACGGUCCAGACUCCUACGGGAGGCAGCAGUGAGGAAUAUUGCACAAUGGGAGAAAUCCUGAUGCAGCGACGCCGCGUGUGGGAAGAAGGAGCUUAGCUUCGUAAACCACUGUCGGAGGGACGAAUGGUAGGUUAGACCUACUGAGACGGUACCCUCAAAGGAAGGAUCGGCUAACUACGUG